AAGGCUUUAAGUUAAUAAAACUAAUAGCCUUCAAAGCUAUAAAUAUUGGUAAAAAUCUUUUAAGCCUUA
Molecule: transfer RNA, 69 nt
Filed under: Boreoheptagyia brevitarsis
Lineage: Eukaryota; Metazoa; Arthropoda; Insecta; Diptera; Chironomidae
Description: tRNA-Trp
Rfam family: tRNA
About the family: Transfer RNA (tRNA) molecules are approximately 80 nucleotides in length.
Source: RNAcentral